RNAcentral lists this unclassified non-coding RNA (254 nucleotides) under Ochrolechia sp. Its description in RNAcentral is "partial contains small subunit ribosomal RNA, internal transcribed spacer 1, and 5.8S ribosomal RNA". The stretch from base 1 to 46 matches the Rfam family "Eukaryotic small subunit ribosomal RNA", at positions 1786 to 1831 of the family's 1831-position model. The record is from RNAcentral. Lineage: Eukaryota; Fungi; Ascomycota; Lecanoromycetes; Pertusariales; Ochrolechiaceae.
AAGUCGUAACAAGGUUUCCGUAGGUGAACCUGCGGAAGGAUCAUUAACGAGAGAGGGUCCUCCCGGGCCCGACCCUCCCACCCCGUGUGUACGUACCUCUGUUGCUUCGGCGGGCCCGCGGGUCCCACUCGGGACUCGCCGCCGGCCCCGGCCGGUCCGCACCCGCCAGAGGCCCCCAUCAAACCUGAUUGUGCCAGUGGAGUCUGAGUGCAACGCAAUAACUAAAACUUUCAACAACGGAUCUCUUGGUUCUG